UGCAAACGUCAUUUCCUAUUGUCAUCAAAUAGAUAAUAAUAACCAUUAGGUGGAAUCUAAAACACAACUCCGCUGAAGAGAAUCCAUUAACGAUUGUUGAAAAUUACAACAUUUUCUAUAUGGCCUGGAAAGAUUUGGGAUUGCAGCAUGACCUGCAAUUACAUCACCACAACUCUGCUGGAGGGUUCCGAAUUCCAAACUUAUUUAUUCAAAGUCAAACGAUCUUUUUGGUCACGAGAGCACCAAUACAAAUAACCAAUGAAUUAAACUAGCAGCAUACAAAGCCCUAGGACAGCAAAAUUGGAUGCAUCCCAUCAAAUUUGAUUAUGGAAUCGCCACUCAUCUGUACAUUCAUCAACAGACUGAACAGAGUCAAGGAAAGAGAUUCAACCAAAUAAGGAGCCAACAACAGAGAACAAAAACAUUGCUAAAUGGAAGCAUGAAUGGAAGAUUAAAAGAGAUCAGAGAUCCUACCAUCAGUUCAGAUUGCAACUACAACUUUAUACAUAAAAACCCUUUCUUGGACGUAUUUUAAGACAUCAAAUUGACAAUUUUUUAUAACCAACUAGACUAAUUAGGCUUUAGAUUUCAGAAUUGAAAAGGUUUGAUAUCAAAAAAUUGAGGAUCUUAGCUAAAUCAAAAUCAGACAUUAGAAAGUAAAAAUCCUCCAAAUAACGCAAGCUAAAUUAAUAGACUCACAUAGGACCAAGAAAACACAUUUAGAAAUAUGUCAACCGUUUUAUUUCUGUCACCUAAUACCCGUGUCCAGAAAUCAAUUCGAAACAAAAACCACAAAUUCAGACACCAAGUCCCCUAAAUUAACUCUAAGAGAAACAAAGGGGAUCAAAACCCUAAUAUCCCAAAUCAAGAAUUCAAAAUUUCUUUACACACGUAUUCAAAAAAUAAAAACCCUAAAAUUUAUUUUUAAAAAAUGUACCUCUUGAGAACAGAUUGAGUAUCAACGUUCUUUGCAGAUUGCACUGGCUGCUUGGAUGACGUCAUCACCGGACCAGCCGCCGGGGUGUUGCUGUUAUUGCUGCUUUCGCUGUUCAUUGUGGUAGUCAUCCCUUCUUCCUUGAUUCCUUACUUUUCACCCCUCAAAAAAUUCAACCUCUCAACGUUUAAACAAGAAUCAAUAUAAAGGGUUCCAAAAAUUCUGAACAAAUCAAACCGGAAUUUCGAGAAACCUCGUCAAAGAAGAAGAAGAGGCUAGUGAGGAUUAAAGGGCUGCCCGCUUCUUCUGAUGAUAAUGAAUUAUUGUAUUGAUUCUUGUUUAGAGAGAGAAAGUGACAGAUAGAUUGGAUUGAUGCAGAAAAAAAUUGUGUGAAGAGAUGUUUAUAAAUGUGAGAGUUUGUCUGAGUUUUCAU
This 1367-nucleotide long non-coding RNA is filed under the name Coffea arabica (coffee). RNAcentral's name for it is "long non-coding RNA (CARA_LNC008056)". The record is from RNAcentral. Lineage: Eukaryota; Viridiplantae; Streptophyta; Magnoliopsida; Gentianales; Rubiaceae.